GAAAUGCGAUAAGUAAUGUGAAUUGCAGAAUUCAGUGAAUCAUCGAAUCUUUGAACGCACAUUGCGCCCGCCAGUAUUCUGGCGGGCAUGCCUGUCCGAGCGUCAUUUCAACCAUCAAGCCCCCGGGCUUGUGUUGGGGACCUGCGGCUGCCCGCAGGCCCUGAAAACCAGUGGCGGGCUCGCUGUCACACCGAGCGUAGUAGCAAUCACCUCGCUCAGGGCGUGCUGCGGGUUCCGGCCGUUAAACAGCCUUACAAAACCCAAGGUUGACCUCGGAUCAGGUAGGAAGUCCCGCUGAACUUAAGC
This 306-nucleotide unclassified non-coding RNA is filed under the name plant metagenome. Its description in RNAcentral is "partial contains 5.8S ribosomal RNA, internal transcribed spacer 2, and large subunit ribosomal RNA". The stretch from base 1 to 105 matches the Rfam family "5.8S ribosomal RNA", at positions 50 to 154 of the family's 154-position model. The record is from RNAcentral.